Long non-coding RNA from Eleginops maclovinus (Patagonian blennie), 431 nucleotides. RefSeq lists it as uncharacterized. The record is from RefSeq and is a predicted model, not a curated record. The transcript has 4 exons. Lineage: Eukaryota; Metazoa; Chordata; Actinopteri; Perciformes; Eleginopidae.
GGGGUGCCCGUUCUGCAUCAUCCUCAGGAUGUGGUUGGAAGUCAAGAUAAACAGAUGGCAAUCAUUUUGUGUAAUUCAAACUCUGCUGAAAAAAGUUUCCAUUGGACCUCGCGCUGAUCAUCCUGUCGCCACGAUGCUUCGUCUCUACAAGCUUGUGCUUCUUUAUCUUCUGGCAUGCCAAGAUCAAAACGUACUUGGACGUAAAAUAAAAAAUGGGGGAAAAGCUGGUGAAAUGUUGAUGACAUAUGUGGCGUCAGUGCAGAGCAAUGAUAAACACGUAUGUGGAGGAUUUGCUGUCAGCAAUGAAUUUGUUGUCACCCAUGGAAAGUGUACUUUUGAUAAAGACAAGGCAAUGGUUGCUCUCGGCACCCAUUUCCUGGACAGGCCUCUCCAUAAAAUAACAAAACACAUUGAGAGCACAUGCAAUCCCC